Molecule: ribosomal RNA, 252 nt
Filed under: uncultured prokaryote
Description: partial 16S ribosomal RNA
Rfam family: Bacterial small subunit ribosomal RNA
Source: RNAcentral
AUACGUAGGGUGCAAGCGUUAAUCGGAAUUACUGGGCGUAAAGCGUGCGCAGGCGGUUUUGUAAGUCUGACGUGAAAGCCCCGGGCUCAACCUGGGAAUUGCGUUGGAGACUGCAAGGCUUGAAUCUGGCAGAGGGGGGUAGAAUUCCACGUGUAGCAGUGAAAUGCGUAGAGAUGUGGAGGAACACCGAUGGCGAAGGCAGCCCCCUGGGUCAAGAUUGACGCUCAUGCACGAAAGCGUGGGGAGCAAACA